ACGUGGAGAGAGCUCAGAGGCUGUCCCGGAGAAGUCGUGGAAAGCUCAGAGGAUGUCCCAAACAAGAGAGAGCUCAGAGGCUGUCCCAGAGAAGAUGUGGAGAGAGUUCAGAGGCUGUCGUUACUGCUGCACUUGGCUGUUUUUCUUUGGAUAAUUAUUGCAAUCAAUUUUAGUGAUUCAGGUGUUAAAUCACAGUCAAGCACCUGUUUACCUAGUGGUGAGUUCCUUUAU
This 231-nucleotide long non-coding RNA is filed under the name Pongo abelii (Sumatran orangutan). Its description in RNAcentral is "lincRNA". Lineage: Eukaryota; Metazoa; Chordata; Mammalia; Primates; Hominidae. The record is from RNAcentral.